AUUGAACGCUGGCGGCAUGCCUUACACAUGCAAGUCGAACGGUAACGGGUCCUUCGGGAUGCCGACGAGUGGCGAACGGGUGAGUAAUAUAUCGGAACGUGCCCAGUAGUGGGGGAUAACUGCUCGACAGAGCAGCUAAUACCGCAUACGACCUGAGGGUGAACGGGGGGGAUCGCAAGACCUCUCGCUAUUGGAGCGGACGAUAUCAGAUUAGCUAGUUGGUGGGGUAAAGGCCUACCAAGGCAACGAUCUGUAGUUGGUCUGAGAGGACGACCAGCCACACUGGGACUGAGACACGGCCCAGACUCCUACGGGAGGCAGCAGUGGGGAAUUUUGGACAAUGGGCGCAAGCCUGAUCCAGCAAUGCCGCGUGCAGGAAGAAGGCCUUCGGGUUGUAAACUGCUUUUGUCAGGGAAGAAAUCUUCUGGGCUAAUACCCCGGGAGGAUGACGGUACCUGAAGAAUAAGCACCGGCUAACUACGUG
This 484-nucleotide ribosomal RNA is filed under the name uncultured bacterium. RNAcentral describes it as "partial 16S ribosomal RNA". It matches the Rfam family "Bacterial small subunit ribosomal RNA", at positions 30 to 507 of the family's 1533-position model. The record is from RNAcentral.